AUGACUGAUGAUCGAGCUCUUUGCACUUGCGCCACACAUCUUGUGGUGUGGCGCAAACAAGAGGGCACUUACGGAGACGUACCAGUCUCCCUGCUGAUUGAUGCAUCACCGGUACACGCCAGGCUAUACACGGCCAUAUUCGUCAGAACCAAAAGCGUGCAGGAUCUCAGAGCUAAAACAGUAAUAAAAAAAAUUGAAGCAAACAGUCUGGUUUGUGUACAUGUAGCUUUUUUUUUGAAACAAGCGUGUACGUGUAGCUUUGUCCGACGCCCAUUCUGUCCAGCGCCUUGCCUUUUACUGUACUGA
RNAcentral lists this ribosomal RNA (306 nucleotides) under Triticum aestivum (bread wheat). Its description in RNAcentral is "partial small subunit ribosomal RNA". The record is from RNAcentral. Lineage: Eukaryota; Viridiplantae; Streptophyta; Magnoliopsida; Poales; Poaceae.